Molecule: ribosomal RNA, 400 nt
Filed under: uncultured bacterium
Lineage: Bacteria
Description: bacterial SSU rRNA
Rfam family: Bacterial small subunit ribosomal RNA
Source: RNAcentral
UGGGGAAUCUUCCGCAAUGGACGAAAGUCUGACGGAGCAACGCCGCGUGAGUGAAGACGGCCUUCGGGUUGUAAAGCUCUGUUAUACGGGACGAACGAGAGUAUAGUUAAUACCUAUAUUCUGUGACGGUACCGUAAGAGAAAGCCACGGCUAACUACGUGCCAGCAGCCGCGGUAAUACGUAGGUGGCAAGCGUUGUCCGGAAUUAUUGGGCGUAAAGGGCGCGCAGGCGGUUUUACAAGUCGGUCUUAAAAGUGCGGGGCUCAACCCCGUGAGGGGACGGAAACUGUAAAACUGGAGUAUCGGAGAGGAAAGCGGAAUUCCUAGUGUAGCGGUGAAAUGCGUAGAUAUUAGGAGGAACACCAGUGGCGAAAGCGGCUUUCUGGACGAUAACUGACGCU